ACCUAGCCCAGAUGUAAACGGCAUCCUUUUUAUCUCGUUUAUUUGACGAGAUAAAAAGAUACAGUGCACAGCUGGAAAAGCU
RNAcentral lists this small RNA (82 nucleotides) under Flavobacterium urumqiense. RNAcentral describes it as "Flavo-1 RNA". It matches the Rfam family "Flavo-1 RNA". Lineage: Bacteria; Pseudomonadati; Bacteroidota; Flavobacteriia; Flavobacteriales; Flavobacteriaceae. The record is from RNAcentral.